UUAGGUAAUAAUAAUAGUAAUAAUAAUAAUAAUUAAUAAUUAAUAAAUAAUAAUAAUAACGUUGUCGUCUAAUGCGUGUUCGGGGCGAAGGUAUAAGCGCCGGACAAGUACAAUAAUUAUAUAA
Molecule: long non-coding RNA, 124 nt
Organism: Myzus persicae (green peach aphid)
Lineage: Eukaryota; Metazoa; Arthropoda; Insecta; Hemiptera; Aphididae
Exons: 3
Source: RefSeq, a predicted model, not a curated record